GCCUUGUUACAGAGGGUGGAAUGGUUCGCUGAACCUGGAACUCCCAGGGUGGACAGAGAGAGAACAGUGAGCAGGGUAACAGUCGAUGUUGGGGGACAGAAAAAGUGGUGUUGAAAGAACAGGUUGGCUUUUCCUGGAACACAUUAGGCACAAAGAAUGGCAGAGCCGGAAGCUGCAGAUGUCUGCAGACGUCAGCCGAAAGAAGGGAAUAAACCAAGUUGCUGCGACGCUGUAAAGGGCAAAAAGACUGCUCAUCCACAUCGGAAGAGGAGCAGGCUGGUUUCCCAAGUGAUUCCAAUGUACAGCAAAAUGUGAGAAGCAUGGGUCUAAAUCCGCAUCGGUACUAAGAAAAAGCACAGGAAGGGAAGAGAGUAAAGGACAGGAAGUGAUGGCAGAACUGCCAAAAUUUGGAUUACAGAAAGUAGGUCACACGAGCCUCCUCCCCGCCUGUAUUUCCCAACAUAAAUGUCUCAAAAAAAAAAAAAAAAAAAAAAAAAAAAAAAAAGAAAACUAAGAUGAACUAGAGAGAAAGAUGAAAGAUUAAACUACUUAACAAUAUUUGAGGACACGUGGACUGGGGAUUUAGCUCAGUGGCACCGCACCUGCCUCGAAAGUGCAAGGUCCUGAGUUCAAAUUCCCCAUACCAAAAAAAAAAAAAUUGCUAUAUUUGAGGAUUCCUUAGAGGGAGAGGAAGGCACCCCUGGAAGAAUGAACCUUGCAACAUAAAGUAUAUGCCUAAUAAAUAUUGUGGAUGGAUGGCUAGAAUGUCAAAGCAUUCUGUCUUCUGGCUAUGUCACACAAAAGGCAAAAGACUUGUCAUUUGAAAAUUUUAAGAAAGCAAUACUUUUUCAUCUUUUGUUCACCCAGCACUAAAGAAUUCAUUUAAUUUCUCUUUUCCUCCCCCUAGCUCAGUAGCCACAUAAAACACUCUGCAAUGUGCCAGCAACUGCAUUUAUAGCUUCUGUUUCUUUUUGAAAGUGUGC
This 983-nucleotide long non-coding RNA is filed under the name Fukomys damarensis (Damara mole-rat). RNAcentral describes it as "lncRNA (ENSFDAG00000026758.1)". Lineage: Eukaryota; Metazoa; Chordata; Mammalia; Rodentia; Bathyergidae. The record is from RNAcentral.